CAAAGAAUAUUUGGUAAUCAUGGAGGCCUACCACUACCUGAAUUUAAUGAUACUCUUGAGACAAUGCACUCUAUUAUUUUUCUAUAGAAUCAAGCUAACAAAGUGGGAAUUGAGGUUAAAGGGAGAGUAUAAUAGUGUGAAUGAGGUAUAUAUGAGAAUUCAUGUGGUUUUUCUCGGAGGUCUACCAAGUAAGGAAAGAUUCUCUCUCAUUUGAGAUUUCUUUAAAUUAAUACAUUUUUCUUUUUUUGUUAUAGUCUAGUAAGGUGCUUUGAUCCAUCCCUCUUCGCUUAAUUUAUUUUAGGUUUAAUUGAUCUGUCGGUCCCUUAACUUAUUUCUUUUAUUCAGUUUGGUCCUAUAAAUCUUACAUUUCUCAAAUACGUCUCUUAACUUAUUUCUUUUAUUCAAUUUGGUCCAAUUUUGAUAAUUUUAAUCCCC
This 435-nucleotide long non-coding RNA is filed under the name Medicago truncatula (barrel medic). RNAcentral describes it as "long non-coding RNA (MTRU_LNC004534)". Lineage: Eukaryota; Viridiplantae; Streptophyta; Magnoliopsida; Fabales; Fabaceae. The record is from RNAcentral.